Molecule: ribosomal RNA, 254 nt
Filed under: uncultured bacterium
Lineage: Bacteria
Description: partial 16S ribosomal RNA
Rfam family: Bacterial small subunit ribosomal RNA
Source: RNAcentral
UACAGAGGUCUCAAGCGUUGUUCGGAUUCAUUGGGCGUAAAGGGUGCGUAGGCGGCCAUGUAAGUAGGGUGUGAAAUCCCCCGGCUUAACCGGGGAACUGCGCCCUAAACUGUGUGGCUUGAGUGAGAUAGGGGUGUGUGGAACUUCCGGUGGAGCGGUGAAAUGUGUUGAUAUCGGAAGGAACGCCGGUGGCGAAAGCGACACACUGGGUCUCAACUGACGCUGAGGCACGAAAGCCAGGGGAGCGAACGGGG